GACGAACGCUGGCGGCGUGCCUAAUACAUGCAAGUUGAGCGCUGAAGGUUGGUACUUGUACCAACUGGAUGAGCAGCGAACGGGUGAGUAACGCGUGGGGAAUCUGCCUUUGAGCGGGGGACAACAUUUGGAAACGAAUGCUAAUACCGCAUAAAAACUUUAAACACAAGUUUUAAGUUUGAAAGAUGCAAUUGCAUCACUCAAAGAUGAUCCCGCGUUGUAUUAGCUAGUUGGUGAGGUAAAGGCUCACCAAGGCGAUGAUACAUAGCCGACCUGAGAGGGUGAUCGGCCACAUUGGGACGGAGACACGGCCCAAACUCCUACGGGAGGCAGCAGUAGGGAAUCUUCGGCAAUGGACGAAAGUCUGACCGAGCAACGCCGCGUGAGCGAAGAAGGUUUUCGGAUCGUAAAACUCUGUUGGUAGAGAAGAACGUUGGUGAGAGUGGAAAGCUCAUCAAGUGACGGUAACUACCCAGAAAGGGACGGCUAACUACGUG
This 497-nucleotide ribosomal RNA is filed under the name uncultured bacterium. RNAcentral's name for it is "partial 16S ribosomal RNA". It matches the Rfam family "Bacterial small subunit ribosomal RNA", at positions 28 to 507 of the family's 1533-position model. The record is from RNAcentral.